This 82-nucleotide ribosomal RNA is filed under the name Geobacillus sp. 44B. RNAcentral's name for it is "partial 16S ribosomal RNA". It matches the Rfam family "Bacterial small subunit ribosomal RNA", at positions 1 to 80 of the family's 1533-position model. Lineage: Bacteria; Bacillati; Bacillota; Bacilli; Caryophanales; Anoxybacillaceae. The record is from RNAcentral.
UUUCUAUGGAGAGUUUGAUCCUGGCUCAGGACGAACGCUGGCGGCGUGCCUAAUACAUGCAAGUCGAGCGGACCGAACAGGA